CUUCGGGAAACCGUAGCUAAUACCGGAUAAUAUUUUGAACCGCAUGGUUCAAAAGUGAAAGACGGUCUUGCUGUCACUUAUAGAUGGAUCCGCGCUGCAUUAGCUAGUUGGUAAGGUAACGGCUUACCAAGGCAACGAUGCAUAGCCGACCUGAGAGGGUGAUCGGCCACACUGGAACUGAGACACGGUCCAG
Molecule: ribosomal RNA, 193 nt
Filed under: uncultured Staphylococcus sp.
Lineage: Bacteria; Bacillati; Bacillota; Bacilli; Caryophanales; Staphylococcaceae
Description: partial 16S ribosomal RNA
Rfam family: Bacterial small subunit ribosomal RNA
Source: RNAcentral